CCAAUAGCGUAUAUUAAAGUUGUUGCAGUUAAAAAGCUCGUAGUUGAAUUUUAGGCCUGGCCGGGCGGUCCGUCUUUGGCGAGUACUGUCUUGUUGUCGGGUCUUCCUUCUGGUGGACCAGCAUGUCCUUUAUUGGGUGUGUUGGGGAGCCAGGACCAUUACCUUGAAAAAAUUAGAGUGUUUAAAGCGGGCUAUUGCUUGAAUAGAUUAGCAUGGAAUAAUAGAAUAGGACGUUGUGGUUCUAUUUUGUUGGUUUCUAGGACCACCGUAAUGAUUAAUAGGGAUAGUUGGGGGCAUUAGUAUUCAAUUGUCAGAGGUGAAAUUCUUGGAUUUAUUGAAGACUAACUACUGCGAAAGCAUUUGCCAAGGAUGUUUUCAUUAAUCAAGAACGAAAGUUAGGGGAUCGAAGACGAUCAGAUACCGUCGUAGUCUUAACCAUAAACUAUGCCGACUAGGAAUCGGGCGACGUUAUUUUCAUGACUCGCUCGGCGCCUUAUG
RNAcentral lists this ribosomal RNA (498 nucleotides) under uncultured Glomeromycotina. Its description in RNAcentral is "partial small subunit ribosomal RNA". It matches the Rfam family "Eukaryotic small subunit ribosomal RNA", at positions 591 to 1092 of the family's 1831-position model. Lineage: Eukaryota; Fungi; Glomeromycota. The record is from RNAcentral.